RNAcentral lists this ribosomal RNA (253 nucleotides) under uncultured bacterium. Its description in RNAcentral is "partial 16S ribosomal RNA". It matches the Rfam family "Bacterial small subunit ribosomal RNA", at positions 524 to 776 of the family's 1533-position model. The record is from RNAcentral.
UACAGAGGAUGCAAGCGUUAUCCGGAAUGAUUGGGCGUAAAGCGUCUGUAGGUGGCUUUUUAAGUCCGCCGUCAAAUCCCAGGGCUCAACUCUGGACAGGCGGUGGAAACUACCAAGCUGGAGUACAGUAGGGGCAGAGGGAAUUUCCGGUGGAGCGGUGAAAUGCGUAGAGAUCGGAAGGAACACCAGUGGCGAAAGCGGCUUCCUGGUCCGACACCGACGUUCAGGCACGAAAGCGUGGGGAGCAAACAGG